AAGAAAGUGGCAGAGUGGUUAUGCAAUUGGCUUGAAACCAGUUAAUGGGGGUUCAAUUCCUUCCUUUCUCG
RNAcentral lists this transfer RNA (71 nucleotides) under Barbourisia rufa. RNAcentral describes it as "tRNA-Ser (UCN)". It matches the Rfam family "tRNA". From Rfam's summary of the family: Transfer RNA (tRNA) molecules are approximately 80 nucleotides in length. Their secondary structure includes four short double-helical elements and three loops (D, anti-codon, and T loops). The record is from RNAcentral. Lineage: Eukaryota; Metazoa; Chordata; Actinopteri; Beryciformes; Barbourisiidae.